Small nucleolar RNA from Zygosaccharomyces rouxii, 90 nucleotides. NCBI's taxonomy places the organism in Eukaryota, Fungi, Ascomycota, Saccharomycetes, Saccharomycetales, Saccharomycetaceae. The record is from RefSeq and is a predicted model, not a curated record.
AUUAAUAUGAUGAAGAAUCUUGUGUCCUUACACCAUCGACUAGCUACGGCGAUGCUGUCGAAACUUUUAUCACCAUCUUUCGCCUGAGAU